GGAGAGACAACACAAGAACAAGAAAACCCUAAACCUAAAAGUUUUUUUCCCCCUUGCAGCCGCUGAACCAAGCCAGCCCCCACCUCACCUUUUGAAUUUUUUUUCUCUUCUCCCUCACCCGGAGCCACACACAGCCGCCCUUGACCCGUAGCCCCAUCUCUUUCUUCCUCUUGAGACACAAACCAAAGCCAAACAGCCCCUCCCCCGAACAGCCGCUCAUUUUUUUUCCCCUUUCCCUGACCCGACAGCAACAUCAGAGUCUCUCAGCUGCUUCAUUCUCCCCUCUCAGCCGUUCCUUUCCAUUUCCAUCAACCCGGAACUUUCCCUCUCAGCUGUAGGAGCAA
RNAcentral lists this long non-coding RNA (344 nucleotides) under Populus tremula. Its description in RNAcentral is "long non-coding RNA (PTRE_LNC003074)". The record is from RNAcentral. Lineage: Eukaryota; Viridiplantae; Streptophyta; Magnoliopsida; Malpighiales; Salicaceae.